This 253-nucleotide ribosomal RNA is filed under the name uncultured bacterium. Its description in RNAcentral is "partial 16S ribosomal RNA". It matches the Rfam family "Bacterial small subunit ribosomal RNA", at positions 524 to 776 of the family's 1533-position model. The record is from RNAcentral.
UACGUAGAGUGCGAGCGUUAAUCGGAAUUACUGGGCGUAAAGCGUGCGCAGGCGGUUCGUUAAGUUCGUUGUGAAAGCCCCGGGCUCAACCUGGGAAUGGCAAUGGAAACUGGCGAGCUUGAGUGUGGCAGAGGGGGGUGGAAUUCCGCGUGUAGCAGUGAAAUGCGUAGAGAUGCGGAGGAACACCGAUGGCGAAGGCAGCCCCCUGGGCCAACACUGACGCUCAGGCACGAAAGCGUGGGGAGCAAACAGG